CAGAAAAGUAGGAACAAGCAGUCCCACUAUCUAGCUUCUGUACCAGGACAAAGAAACUGGUUGGCCUCACACACAGGCUCUGCGCAUCCUGAGGAAGGUCAGCACCUUGCCAAAAGGAACUUUUAUAAUUGAGCUGGAAAGCUAGAUAAACCUGAAACAAUUAGUACACAAAUAAAGGAAAACUAUGGAAUUCUGAGAAAAAUGCAGAAGGAAUUCUAGAAUCCCAGAGAAUGGAGAGAUCAUAUGCGCCCAUUAGACCUUUUAGAAACACUCAGGGUAGAAUGAAUACAAAGCAAUAGUCAUAGGGCCUUAUCAGUGCUAGGACCAGCACAUCUCUGAGUCAUGUCCUUCCUCCUGCAUAAAAUAAGAAUGACAGUACCUGACCUGCAAAUGUGCAAAAUUACUGUGGGGAAAACAAAUGAGACCAUGAGGACAGAAGCAUUUUCAACACUAUAAAGAUCUGAAGUCUAUGUAGAGUGAAGAGGCCAUCAGAACCCUGCAUCCUGGUUCUGAAAUUAUCACCAGCGAUCUUGAGGAAAAGUGAUGGGAUUGACAUUGGUGAACUGAGCACACAGGGAAGAAAAUCUGUAAUUGAUGGCAACACGAUCGCAUACCAGGAUCCUCUGAUGUCAUGAGUCUAAGUCCCACGCCAAGCAUUUUUGGUGAUUCUAGGCUUAUAUGGAAGAGCUCCUUUGAUAGUGGUAUCAACCCUUGGAAAACAGUUUGGCAGCUUAGGUUAAAUAAAUACUUGGCUAUAGAACACAGAAAAUUCAUCCGAACCCAUUUCAGCUAUGACUUCAACCAUGCCUGCAAGUUACUUGAUCCAGAAACUAGAAAACACCAAAGUAUCAUUAACAGAGUAUCACCUGAGAAGUAGUACAAGGUACUCAUUAUAAUCAUAAGGAAACUGGGAUUCAAAGAGAGUAAGUUAUAUGACCAAGGUCAAGCUAAGAAAUGAACAGAGAGGAGUUGCUAAAUUCAGGUGUUUGGAAUCCAGACCCUAUUUCUUGCUGCUUUGGCACCACACUUUGCUGACCAACCUAGAAGAUUAUUUUUUUAAUUUGAAGGUAACGGAAUCAAUGUAAAUGAAGGGGAGUUGUCAUUAAUGGGUCCCUGUCUGGGAAUUGAUUCACUUAAAAGAUGAUUUGUGACAUGCUUCUAAGAUUAAUACACAUUCCAAAUAGUAUCAGGUCAUAUAAAGUGCAUGGGGACUUAUAGUACUAUCAGAGAAACACUACCCUAAACUCAAGGAACAGAAAGUAAGGGAUGGUU
Long non-coding RNA from Canis lupus familiaris (dog), 1272 nucleotides. RefSeq lists it as uncharacterized. The record is from RefSeq and is a predicted model, not a curated record. The transcript is spliced from 4 exons. NCBI's taxonomy places the organism in Eukaryota, Metazoa, Chordata, Mammalia, Carnivora, Canidae.